This 4926-nucleotide long non-coding RNA is filed under the name Homo sapiens (human). RNAcentral's name for it is "HSALNT0364755". Lineage: Eukaryota; Metazoa; Chordata; Mammalia; Primates; Hominidae. The record is from RNAcentral.
UAUGUAUGUUCCAGUUUUUUGUUUUUUGUUUUUGUCUUGCAGGACCCUGAAUUUCUCCUGUUGCUUCUUUUCCCCUUCACCAUCCAGUUGCCAAAAGGCACCUUGCCUAUUCUUUUUGCUCUCUCCACUCCCUGAAGCUAUCCUGUAAUAAGUGUUGUGAUACUAAGAUACUUUAUAUUUUUGCACCUAGGAUAGAAUUUCUAUCUCUGCUGGUGAUUUUAGACCAAUUUUAGGCCUGCCACUAGAUCCGUUUUUCUUUAUUCUGUAUGUUCUUCUUUGGCCUGCCCUUGCUUGCUACAAAGGCUUAUGGUAGAAAUGUGAAAGAUCACUCACUUGGAUUUGGUGCUUUUAAUUUUUUUACUUAUAAGUAUUUGACAUUUGGCUAUAUUUUUCUUCUUGUUAGGCUGAGGGUGUAUUUUGUAUAGAUUUAUUUAUUCUUCUUGUUCUGUAUCGUUUAUGACGGACAUAGGUAGCUGCCAUUUUAUUUUAUUACCGCGAAGUCCUCACCUAUUCACUCUUAAAUCUACCUCAUUGAAGACUUCAAUAACUAUUUGUUGUUGGAAGCCAUAAUGAAACUGUUGAUCAAAUUACCCAAUCCAAAUCAAAUUAACCAAAAAGACUUUCUUCAGUCUUCAUAUUAAUUACCUUCCCUGCAGAACAGAACAUGGUUGCCCAUUAUGUGAAAUUCCUUUUACUUCUUUGGUGGUCCUGUCUGUUUUCUUAUGCCUAAUUGUUGCUUACGGUAUACUUGCUGUUUGUUUGUUUGUUUGUUUGUUUCUUUUAUACACUCAUUAAGUGAGUUCUCCAUCUAAAUAUCCCAUAAGGCACUUCAGAAUCAACAUAUCCAAAAGGAAACAUAUUUUACUCAUCUCCAAAUCUUUUGUUUCUCCAGCAAUUCAAGUUUUGGUGAAUGAAGCUAUGAACAAUCCAGUAAUCCAAACCAGAAACUUGAGAGUCAUCUUUUUUACACCUCCCACUUUGCAUCUCUCACAUUGAAUAAGCAAUCAUGCCCUGAGCCAUAUACUUUCUUAGCAUCUCUGCCAUCCUCCCUAUCCUCUUUGGUAUGGCCUCUCUUCAGACUGCCUCCUUAGCUCUCUUCUGGAUCACUAUAACAGCCUAACAAUUGUAUCACCUUCAGUUUUGCUCUUUCUUCCAUAUGACUAUCAGAAUUAUUUCUCUGGAAGAUCAUGUCAAUCACUCCUUCUCAGUGGUUCUUCAUUGCCUAUAGGAAGAAAUCCAAACUCCGUAGCAUGAGAGAAAUGUUUUUCAUAAUGACUUUAUCCUGCCUUUCUAUUGUUUCUUUCAUAUCAUGCCCAGCUCAGCCCCCCAUUCAAUGAAAAUCAUACUAAACUACUUUAAUUCCACUAACAUGUUGUGCUAGUUAAGCCUCUUUACCUUUGUUCAUGCUGUUUUUACUCAGACCACUCCAUUCCACAACAUACACUUGGGGGAUACCUACUAAUUUUGAAGACCCCCUUCAGCCCUGAUGUUAACCUUCUUUGUGGAAUCAUUAUUGACAUGAUGGAUAGAAUUGGUCAGAUGCUUCCUUGUUCAUCAGUUGUACUAGGCACAGCAUUCUAAUGUAGCACCUAUUACACAUUUUAAAAUUUGUUUACAUGUCUCCCCUCAUGUAAGUUUGUAGGACUGGUACCUGAAAUAUACUAGGCUUACCUUACUGACAUUUUGAAAUAUAAGAUAGCUUUCCAAGGCUUGCUUUUGCCUCCUGAUUCAGGACUCUACCAUUGGCAUCAUCAGGAAGAAUUUCUAAUAGUAUUAUUGAUCAGAGUCUUCUGGAAGUUUCUGCAGGUUACACAUCAACUUACUUUUCCCUGACAAAAUAAUUCUGCAUCUAGAAACACAAACAAGUAGUCAAAGAAGUUAUAUUGGAACUAAGAGAUGAAUUACCAAAGGAAAACUGAAAUCAAGAAACAUUUGAUGAAAUUCAGGCAAUGUCUUCAGGUGCCAGAGGACACAGAAAUGUCCCGAGAACCAUUCACAUGAUCUUAAAGAAACUUCUGCUGGUUGUCUUGUACCUUUGAAGCAGGUGUGAUUGAGAUGGAUACCUUAAUUUUUUUAAAGUAAAAAUUGUUCAUUCUCUUAUGUACUUUAGCAUACUGGUAUUCUUAUCAAAAUAUGAAACAGCAUCAAGUUUAAUAUUAAUUAUAAAACACAUGGUAUAUUUAUAUUUCUGCUCUUUAUUUUCUAAAGUUAACUCAGUUAACUCUCCAUAUAGGUAUUUGGACAUGGGCUGUAACCACUUUUUAGAACAAAUACUGUGAAGAUUGUUUUAUUACAUGACAUUUUAUGAUGUGAGAUUAACACCUUUGUGUUAGUAAACAUCCUAGAUUGUUCACUUCAAUAUAGAUUUUUAAAAUGUAUAGUUAUACUUGUGCAGGAUACUAGAAAAUGAAAAUGACUGUUCACACAUGCUUUAUUAUUCAGUAAUUUUACAAGAAAAUAUUACUGUUUGAAAGAAAAUCAUGCAUGCCUAAAACUGAUUCUGUUCCAGUUUUAUAAGUUAGUAUACUAAUUUUAAGACAUUGUGUAUAUUUCCUUCACUUAAUUUCUAUUUUCUACUGCAUUUCUACCAAUAUAAAAAACAAAGAAUUCAGUUGGUUCCUUUCUAGAGGGAAAAUUUGUUGUGAGUAUAGUACUGGGCAUCACAUGCUGCUUCCCUUUGUGGCUUUGAAUAAACCCUUAUUUUCUUGUCCAUUUUGUCUCAAAGAAUUUUAAAUGGCAUUGUCUAAACUCAGGAGUAUUGUGUGGAUUGAUUAGUAUGAGAAGUUUCUUUCAUGGUAAGUAUAGAGUUUAAGUAUAUAAAAUCAACUCUUGGUCAUAUAUGUAAAACACAAUUGAGAAGUAAAACUUGCCAUCAACUCUUGGUUAUAUACAAAAAAAUUGAGAAGUAAAACUUGCCAUACAUAUUAGUACAAGUAAUUAAAAACGGAUUAUAGCUUGAAAGGCAUUAGAUCUCACAUUAUUUACAUUCUCACUCCUUUUAGCUCCUUUGCUUUUUUGUUCUCUUGUUUGCAAAGAUUAAAAAUAAUGUUCCUGGCAUUUUAAUGGAACAUUACCAAAUGUACAUUCAUGUGUAUUGAUCAAAGACCAACUUUCAUUAGUGAAAAAAUCUAAUUUUUUCUAGACCAAUUAAAAGGAUAAAAUUCUCUUAUUUGAAUAAUAAGAGAAUUAAAGAGUUUAUUAAGCAAAAACAGUUGCUGAAAAAGCGUAGCAAAGACUGACUAGACUGGCUAGAAUUUCCUCUUCUUCCAGGACAGAUGGUUCUACGACAUUUUAAGCCUUCUUUGUAAUGGCCGAGUGACUGGGUUCUAGCUAGUGGAAUGUGAGUGGAAGCCUUUUACCUCAGAAAAGACACACAAUUCUGCAUGCCCUUUCCCCUUCUGUGGCAUGGUGCAAACAUGCAUGGUGACUUUGGAAGCCACAUUUUGACGAUGGUGGAGCCGCAAGAUGAAAAGAGCCUAGGUUCCUGAAUCACCAGGUGGAGGAAUAUUGCCAAUCCAUCAGUAAUGUAUUUUGUACUUUAUCAGAGCAAUAAAUAAAAUUCUCUACUUUUAGAGCCAUUAUACAUUUUUUUUUUUUAUUUUCAUUGCAGUUGUCGCCUGAACCUAUAUAGAAAUUGGUACCUUGAAAAGUGGAGGUUUCUGAACAAAAAAACCUUUAAGUUUUGCAGACUGUUCAAGAAGAAUGGUGCCAGCAUCUGCAUCAGGUGAUGGCUUCAAGUUAAAGAAAGAAGGUUCAUGGAAGAAGGUGAAGGGGAGCCAAGCUGGCUGUGUACAGAUAGCACAUAACCAGAAAGGAAGCAAGAGAUAUCCAGUUGUCCCAGCACAAUUUUUUGAUAAGACUAUUGUUUUCUUUCAUUGAAUUUGUUUGGCAAACUUACCAAAAAUCAAUUGACCGUAAGUAUAAGGAUGGAUUUCUGGACUCUCAAUUGUAUUUCACUGGUGUAUGUCUGUCCUUAUAUCAGUACCACACAGUCUUGAUUAUUUGCUUUUGUGGAUUCUUUAGGGGGUUACAUAUACACAAUCAUGUCAUUUGUGAAGAGAGACUGUUUUACUUUUUCCAUAUGGACUCGUUUUUAUUUAAUUUUCUUACCUAAUUCCUUUUCUAGAACCCACAGUACAAUGUUGACUAGAAGCUGAAAAAUUGGACACUGUUUUUCUGGAUUGUAAGCGAGAAACAUUGUGUCUCACCAUUAAGUAUGAUGUUAGCUAUGGUUUUCAUAAAUACCUUUUAUCAGGUUGAGGAACAUUCCUUCUCUAUUAAUUUCCCAGGGAUGCUAUAACAAAAUGCUAUAAAUUUGAUGGCAUAAACAGUACAUUAUUGUCUCAUUUCUGGGGGCCAGAAGUCUGAAAUCAAGGAAUUAGCAGGGCCACACUCCAUCUGGAGGGUCUAGGGAAGAAUUCUUCCUUGCCUCUUCCAUCCUGUGGUUGCUAUCAGAAUUCCUUGGCUUCCUUGGCUUGUGAUAACAUAAUCUAAUCUCUGCCUCCAUCUUCACAUAGCCUUAUUCUCUCUGUCUGUGUCUGCCCCUUUUCUAAGGAAACUUGUCACUGGAUUUAAGGAAUACCUGAAUAUUCCAGAUUUAUCUCAUUUCAGGAUUCUUCACUGAAUUACAUCUGCAAAGAUCUGUCUUCCAAAUAAGGUGCCAUCCACAGUUUUGAGGAUUAGGGCACAGAUUUCUUUUGGGGGUAUUCGGGGUACUGUUCAACCACUACAGUCUGCCCCCUAGCUCCCCACAAUUCACAUUUAUCUCACAUAUCUUCUUUCAUCUUCUUUCAUUCCUGAUCCUGAUUAUUUGAGUCUUCUCUCUCUUUUUGUUGGUUAGACUAAUUAAAAGUUUAUCAACUUUUAUAUCUUUUCAAAGAAGCAAUUUUUGAUUUUUUCUUUUCUAUUUAUUUAUUUAUUUAGAGA